Cornus florida is the source of this 2035-nucleotide long non-coding RNA. RefSeq lists it as uncharacterized. The transcript is spliced from 9 exons. The record is from RefSeq and is a predicted model, not a curated record. Lineage: Eukaryota; Viridiplantae; Streptophyta; Magnoliopsida; Cornales; Cornaceae.
CUUUCCCCAUUUCAUUCCUAACACCUUCAGCCGUUCUCUCUCCUUCCAUCACAGCUCUGUCGCCCUUCCAUCACUGGUCUCGCCCUUCCAUCACCGAUCAUCACGUCUCUCUCCUUCUAUCACAGCUCUCUCGCCCUUCCAUCACCGAUCAUCACGUCUGUCGCCCUUCCAUCACUGGUCUCGCCCUUCCCUUCCAUCACCGAUCAUCACGUCUCUCUCCUAUCACAGCAUUCCAAAACUGGUGGCUUGGUUUACAGAGACAAAGUCAUUGCUACUGCACACACAGAGAGAGAAAGAGUCGUCGUUGGGGGUUUCCAAAACCUUGUCUACACUAAUAGAUCGGACGAGAAUUUUUUUAGCUUUGUUUGUGUAGAGUCGGCAGACGAGACUCUCUUCGCGAAAGCCCUAGCUCAUUGCCCCCGAGCACUGGACAUCGUGAAAGCCUUGGAUAGCUCAUUGCCUCCUCCUUACAGCUUUCUGAAGUCUAAACAAGAAAGGAUAAAUAAUAAGUUGACAAUGAAACGAACGGUUAGUGAAGUGGAAAAAGUAAGUGAACAAAAUACUGAAGCUUCAACUUCAAAAUCAUCCCAACCACCGUCGAAGAAGAGACGGGGCCCGACACGAUGCAAGAAUGUCGUAAACGUGACAACCUUAUUACCAUUAAGUUUGGACAGCCGAUCGGCCCUAGAAGUGGUACAUAUACUAAUUAUUUGGGAACACUUGGGAACACUUGCCCGGAAAGCUAAUUUAGCUCCUUUGUGCUACAAAACUUGAUGGGAGAUGCCUAAACGGCUGAAGGAGGAUAUGUGGAACGUUGUAAAGGGAAAGUAUGAUGUGGGAAUCAUGUCAAAACAUUGGACAAUAUCCUUCAUCGGAAAAAAAAUGGAAGGGGUACAAGUGUGAAUUAAAAAGUGAAUAUUACUCGGCUAGGGAUACAGAUGCAGAAAGAUUGGCAAACCCAUCACCUGAUGUUGAAAAGGAGCAUUGGGAAUUUUUGGUUAGGCAUUGGGGUAUGCCUAUGGCGAAGGAGGUCAGUAAAAAAACAAAGAACGUCAUGGGAAGCAGACAAUGAUGCAUACUACAGGGACAAAAAGCUUUGCACGUGUUUCUGCCGAGAUUGAGGAAGACAAAGGUAUUCAGCUUUCUCGUGCAGAUUUAUUCAUUCGCACACAUGCAAAUAAGGAUGGCAAAGCUACUGAUGCUGCUGCUUCGGAGAUGAUUGAACACAUAAAAGUACUUCAAAAAAGUUACUCUGACUCGCCUAUUGGCAGUUCCAAUGUUGUUCUCCAUUGUGAGGGGAGAAAAGAGAACUGGUCGUGUGUGGAUGCUUGGCUUCGGGCCUACACCAAGCGAUGUUUGGGGGCCUCUCCUAGUAAAGCUGAACUGAUUAAUAAUGCGAAAAAAUCUGAUGAGGAGGCACGUGCUGCACGCGUAGAGUUGCAGGAGACCAUAUCAAAAAUGCAAGCCGACUAUGACAACAAGUUAGAAAAUUUAUGAGCCAACUUUGAUGACAAGUUGGAAAAUUUACAACAACAGGGUUCUGAUUCGUUAAAUGCUCCUCCUAGAGUAUUCCCAAAUUCAUUAUCUAGUCGUGAUGACAAUUCAGUUAAGGUUAUGAACUUUUAAUUUCUCUUAUAUAUAUGUUAAAUUUUCAUUUAUUAUAAUGUGUGCGUAAUGAAUUUAUAAAAAAUGUAGGGUAAUUCAAAUAAAAUAGGCAAGAAGACUUGUUGAAGUUGAAGUUGAAGAUGGGGUUGUGGCUGUGCUUUUUGAAUUUCCUUCGCCUUGGAUGGGUUCUUUUUGAAAAACUUGUACUACAUUUAUCAAAAAUUGUUAAUUCUUUUUGUCUGACAUUUAAUAGCUUUAUUUAGACAAUUUGGAUGGUACAUUGGCAGGCUAACUUGUGGUUAUAUUAGUAUACAUUUUUGCUUUUUGGUUGACAUUUAGCAGGGUUAACUUGUGGUUGUAUUAGUAGCCAAUUUUGAUGGUAAUUUUCAUAUUGGCAGGGUUAACUUGUGGUUGUAUUAUGUAAAAACAA